Molecule: ribosomal RNA, 808 nt
Filed under: uncultured archaeon
Lineage: Archaea
Description: bacterial SSU rRNA
Rfam family: Archaeal small subunit ribosomal RNA
Source: RNAcentral
CUGAUUGCUAUCUGAUUGGUACUAACCCAUGCGAGUCAUUGUAGCACUACCAGGCGGACGGCUCAGGAACACGAUAGUCAACCUAACUCGUGGACGUGGAUAACCUCGGGAAACUGACAAUAAACCACGAUAGAUCAUAGUGCCUGGAAUGGCUUAUGGUCCAAACAGUUUACUGCCAUGGGAUGGGACUGCGGCCUAUCAGCUUGUUGGUGAGGUAAUGGCCCACCCAGGCGAUUACAGGUACGGGCUCUGAGAGGAGUAUCCCGGAGAUGGGUACUGAGACACGGACCCUCGCCCUAUGGGGCGCAGCAGGCGAGAAACCUUAGCAAUGUGCGAAAGCACGACUGGGUCAGUCCGAGUGAUUCCUGAUAAAGGAGUCUUUUGCCUGUCCUAAAAGCACAGGUGAAUAAGGGGUGGGCAAGUCUGGUGUCAGCCGCCGCGAUAAUACCAGCACCUCUAGUGCUCAAGACGUUUAUUGUGCCUAAAGCAUCCGUAGCCGGCUCUGCAAGUCUUCGGUUAAAUCCACCUGCUCAGCAGAUGGGCCGCUGGAGAUACUACAGAGCUAGGGAGUGGGAGAGGCAGACGGUAUUCAGUGGGUAGGGGUAAAAUCCUCUGAUCCAUUGAGGACCUCCAGUGGCGAAGGCGGUCUGCCAGAACACGUUCAACGGUGAGGCAUGAAAGCUGGCGGAGCAUACCGGAUUAGAUGCCCGGGUAGUCCCUGCUGUAAAUGAUGCAAACUCCGAGAUGCAUUGACUUAUGGCCAAUGCAGUGCCGCCAGGAAGCCGUUACUUUGCCGUCAGGGAAGUAC